CGCCUGGGGAGUACGGCCGCAAGGGUGAAACUCAAAGGAAUUGACGGGGGCCCGCACAAGCGGAGGAGCAUGUGGUUUAAUUCGAUGAUACGCGAGGAACCCUACCCGGGCUUGAAAGUUAGUGAAGGGUGCAGAGACGCACUCGUCCUUCGGGACACGAAACUAGGUGCUGCAUGGCUGUCGUCAGCUCGUGCCGUGAGGUGUUGGGUUAAGUCCCGCAACGGGCGCAACCCCUAUGUUUAGUUGCCAGCACUUAAGUGGGGACUCUAAACAGACUGCCUGUGCAAACAGGAGGAAGGUGGGGACGACGUCAAGUCAUCAUGGCCCUUACGUCCGGGGCUACACUCGUGCUACAAUGGAUGGUACAGCGGGCAGCUACAUAGCAAUAUGAUGCUAAUCUCUAAAAGCCAUUCACAGUUCGGAUUGGGGUCUGCAACUCGACCCCAUGAAGUUGGAUUCGCUAGUAAUCGCGUAUCAGAAUGACGCGGUGAAUACGUUCCCGGGCCUUGAACACACCGCCCGUC
Molecule: ribosomal RNA, 524 nt
Filed under: uncultured Sphingobacterium sp.
Lineage: Bacteria; Pseudomonadati; Bacteroidota; Sphingobacteriia; Sphingobacteriales; Sphingobacteriaceae
Description: bacterial SSU rRNA
Rfam family: Bacterial small subunit ribosomal RNA
Source: RNAcentral